AUCACUUCUCGGCCUUUUGGCUGAGAUCAAGUGUAGUAUCUGUUCUUAUCUGUUCUUAUCUGUUUAAUAUCUGAUGCGCCAUAUACUAGGGGCCAUAUAUUAAAUGGAUUUUUAGAACAGGGAGAUGGAAGAAGAGCUUGCUCUGUCCACUCCACGCAGUACCUCCAGGACCGGUGCAUAAAGAAAAUAAU
RNAcentral lists this small nuclear RNA (191 nucleotides) under Leptobrachium leishanense (Leishan spiny toad). RNAcentral describes it as "U2 spliceosomal RNA (ENSLLEG00000016347.1)". It matches the Rfam family "U2 spliceosomal RNA". From Rfam's summary of the family: U2 is a small nuclear RNA (snRNA) component of the spliceosome (involved in pre-mRNA splicing). Complementary binding between U2 snRNA (in an area lying towards the 5' end but 3' to hairpin I) and the branchpoint sequence (BPS) of the intron results the bulging out of an unpaired adenosine, on the BPS, which initiates a nucleophilic attack at the intronic 5' splice site, thus starting the first of two transesterification reactions that mediate splicing. The record is from Rfam by way of RNAcentral. Lineage: Eukaryota; Metazoa; Chordata; Amphibia; Anura; Megophryidae.